AAGAUUAUACUUUAAGAUCAUUUUUAUAGUUCGUUACUAGAAAAGUUUCUCUGCUCAUGUAGAACACCCAAAACCACAAGGAGCCAGAGCAUCCUCUCCUGAGCGUGAAGCCAGUUCUAGGUGCUGCUUUCACAACCACCUUUUACCAUUGAGAUAGUUCUCUUCCUUUGUAAGAGUGAGAGGGGGAGGGUGCAGAAGAUAAGG
Molecule: small nucleolar RNA, 204 nt
Organism: Sorex araneus (European shrew)
Lineage: Eukaryota; Metazoa; Chordata; Mammalia; Eulipotyphla; Soricidae
Product: small nucleolar RNA U3
Exons: 1
Source: RefSeq, a predicted model, not a curated record